RNAcentral lists this ribosomal RNA (450 nucleotides) under uncultured bacterium. Its description in RNAcentral is "SSU rRNA". It matches the Rfam family "Bacterial small subunit ribosomal RNA", at positions 26 to 518 of the family's 1533-position model. The record is from RNAcentral.
AGGAUGAACGCUGGCGGUCUGCUUAACACAUGCAAGUCGAACGGAGUACCUCGGUACUUAGUGGCGGACGGGUGAGUAACGCGUGAGAAUCUGCCCUUAGGUCGGGGACAACCAUUGGAAACGAUGGCUAAUACCGGAUAAGCCGAGAGGUAAAAGAUUAAUUGCCUAGGGAAGAGCUCGCGUCUGAUUAGCUAGUUGGUGAGGUAAAGGCUCACCAAGGCAUCGAUCAGUAGCUGGUCUGAGAGGAUGAUCAGCCACACUGGGACCGAGACACGGCCCAGACUCCUACGGGAGGCAGCAGUGGGGAAUUUUCCGCAAUGGGCGAAAGCCUGACGGAGCAAGACCGCGUGAGGGAGGAAGGCUCUUGGGUUGUAAACCUCUUUUCUUGGGGAAGAACAAAAUGACGGCACCCAAGGAAUCAGCAUCGGCUAACUCCGUGCCAGCAGCCGC